CACGUAGGGCGCAAGCGUUGUCCGGAAUUAUUGGGCGUAAAGAGCUCGUAGGCGGUUUGUCGCGUCUGCGUGUGAAAACCUAAGGCUCAACCUUGGGCUUGCAGUGGGUACGGGCAGACUAGAGUGCGGUAGGGGUGACUGGAAUUCCGUGGUGAUAGCGGUGAAAUGCGCAGAUAUCAGGAGGAACACCGGUGGCGAAGGCGGUUCUCUGGGCGAUGAUC
This 221-nucleotide ribosomal RNA is filed under the name uncultured bacterium. RNAcentral describes it as "partial 16S ribosomal RNA". It matches the Rfam family "Bacterial small subunit ribosomal RNA", at positions 524 to 741 of the family's 1533-position model. The record is from RNAcentral.